AUGUACAAUUAAUGGGGGUUUUGCCGCUUUCGUUUUCAGCCAAUAGCCAACAAGUCGAAACACACACAACUUCACACGAGAAUUGCGUCACAGUUACACAAAUGCUACAGCAACAAAAAACUCAAAAAACAAAAAUAACGAAACGUUCGGCAGAGACCCAGAAACCCCAAACAGUCAAAACUUGCUGCGCAUGCGCCACCGCAAUCGAUGCCCGCUUUAACAGAAAUAACAUAUACACAUGUAAGCAGCACAUGUUAAUGUAUGCAAUUACCUAUAUAUGUACGGUAUAUUUAUAUAUUUUCAACGCUCAUUGAUUUUGUAAACUUAUAACAUUUAGUUCCUGAUCAUUUUCGUAAAGAAGGGCUUUGUAUCUAGCCACAGAAUCGCUUUCAAAUCAAGCACACAAGUCACUGAAAGCUUACGCCGAGCCCAAUGCCAGUCCGUGGCUCUCAAGUACCUAUAAAGUUCUUGCAACUUACUUUAACUUGUAUAAUUAUGUAUCACUGCUU
This is a non-coding RNA of Drosophila virilis, 509 nucleotides long. NCBI's taxonomy places the organism in Eukaryota, Metazoa, Arthropoda, Insecta, Diptera, Drosophilidae. The record is from RefSeq and is a predicted model, not a curated record.